This 4446-nucleotide long non-coding RNA is filed under the name Triticum aestivum (bread wheat). Its description in RNAcentral is "long non-coding RNA (TAES_LNC001020)". The record is from RNAcentral. Lineage: Eukaryota; Viridiplantae; Streptophyta; Magnoliopsida; Poales; Poaceae.
UGGGAUGGGCUAACUUGAGCCUGAGAUGUGACUCUCGCAAGAGUGCCUCCCUUCAACGUGCUUGCUGUGACAAGGUUAUUUGGCCCUCCUAGUCCUAGCGUGAGGAGACCUCCUUGCUUUGCUGCUGUUGUGUUGAUCCAUUUGAUUGGUUGCAUGUUGGGUAAAGGGAGAUCGAAUGCCUGUGUGUUUAUAUGGUUUCUGAACCAAAAAGUAGAUGGCUUGUUGUAUCAGCCUUCUUUUCGUUGUUGUUGAGGGGAGUCACGUGUCUUGUGUUACAAGGCCCUAUUUGGAUUAUCGUUUUCCUUUUAAUUACCCCAGUAAAAAAAUACUCCAUCCAAGCCUUUUUAGAGAUUUCAAUACGGACUAUAUACGAAUGUAUGUAGACAUAUUUUAGAGUGUAGAUUCACUCAUUUUGCUGUAUGCAGUGCAUAUUGGAAUCUCUAAAAGGUCUAGUAUAUAGGAAUGGGGGGAGUACACGUCUCAGCCCAUCGUUUUGUUUCCGGCUGGAAAUUACUUAGUUGGCUGGUAAGAUCAUAGUUCAAAAAAGCGCUAGACAUUAAUUGUGCGUUUUGCCGCCGCUUUGUGCUUUUUUGAUCAAAGCGCAUGCUUAUGCGCUAGGCGUUUUGCUAUCACCUAGAGCCUAGACGCACUUAAGUGCUUGCUUAGGCGCAUCUUUUUAAACUAUAGGUAAGAUACACCUCUAAGUUAAACACCUCCGUAUUAAAUUACACAGAUCCUAAGCGCGCCCUAACUUGAGUUUUGAAGCAGCUGAUCGCUAGUGUGCUCAUCAUGGCUGCAUUUUCUGCAAUUGGCGAUGCUUAGCUAUUCGAAUUUAUUUGCAGUAAAAAAAACAAUUGGCAGUUUGCUUUGGUCAGAGAACAUCUUCUGGACCAUCCGUAUGUUGCAUGUGUAUGAAAAGCUGCUUCUUUUUUCUUUAACCAGGAAUAUUUACCUCUAUUUACAAGGAAAGUGUUUCGCUUUGACUUUAUAGUACUGUAAUAGACUGAUGUUUAAGGUAGUUCAGUUCAAACGAUGAGGAUGUUUCAUUUAUAUGCAGACAUAUUUCAGCUCUAUUGAGCUUGUAUGCUUGCAUGUACCGAGCUUUUGCUUGAUGUACACUACUUGGAUCCGAAUGAUCCCCAUGUCAAAGGGUUUAAACGAAUGAACCAAACUGGCAGGCAUCGGAAGGGAUUAGAAGGGAAGGGGAGUGGAUGGGCAUCUAGCCCAGUGACAAGACCGCGGCCUUUGGUAGAGCCAAGUUCGAAUCAUGUGGGUGGAAUUUAUUUUGCAGAUUUAAAACUUUAUGUCCCACAUCUUCCUUCUUAAUUAAAACUAGCGGAUUAAAAACUUGAUGUACCACAUCUUUCUUCUUAAUUAAAACUAGAAACUAGCAUCAACCAAGCAUGACUAAGGACUGGAACGUGAUCUACAGGAAAUGGCAGGAACAAGGAACAAGCCUACAUGGUUUUGAAACAUGAACAUCAAAACCCUGAAAGCUUACAAAAAUCUACACUCCACAUUCUACAUUCUACAUGGGUUCAAAAAAAUGCAUCGGAAGAGCUUGACGCGCUGGAUAAAAAAAAUCAAUGUAAACAAGUAGUUAAACUUGGGGCUCCCCUCUGCUUCGAAAACUAAUAUAUUCUGUGAUGAUGAGUACAAAAUAAAAAAUAAGGAUCAUACAAAGAAGAAGAAAAAAAAAGAGGCUGCUGAUUUACCUCUGCGUUUUUAAACUCCUUCCAGAGCUCAGGCAAACUCUGCAAACCAUCUCCUGUGCACAUAAGAAAGCCGCUGAAACAUAAAUUUGUGCUAGUGAGAUGCAUACAUAUCCAGCUAAUGAUUUCUAGUGCGAUACUUGUAUGCUUCUAAACAAAAAGGAUUUCCAAAUAAUGAUCAUUUAUCAUUGGCGUUGCCGCUGAUGACCAAAAAUAUAUAUUUACAUUACGAUGUGGAGAUAAAAAAAUACGAAUCUAUCAAGAGACCAUAAUAUCUUGAUUCAUACAGAAAAAAUGAACAUCUUACUGAUUCAUAUGGUUUAAGCAAAAAAAAAACAAAACUGAAAAAACAUGCUGCUGCUGGGAACUUAGUUGCAGUGAUCAUUAUCUUUUGAUUGCACGAAAAAAAGAAAUUUGAACAUGCUACUAAUUAAAUAGGGUCUCAGCAAAAAAACUGGCAAAAACAAGUAAACAUGCUACUGAUACAUUCUACAGAGAAAAAAGAUUUCAGUGUAAUCUCUAGUGAUACAUUUCAGUAGUAAUCUGUCUUGUUUACAAAAAGAAAAUAUUUCAAAAAACAUCCUACUGGUUAGAUAUGGGUUCUGAAAAAACAAAUAAAAAGAUACCCACUCCUACUGGUACAUUCAGUGAUAAUCUCUCUUUCUUUAAAAAAAAGACAUGCUACUGAAUAAAUAUGGUAAUCUAAAUAAACAAACAAAGGACUCAACCACCCUUAGUGAUAGCUUCAGCAAAUACAUAUGAGGGGAUUUGAUUUAAGUAAUAUUCCUCAAACAUGUUCACACACAAAAUUGUUUCUGCCAAAAAUCAUAUUCUUCAAAAGCUACUAACCUGGACUAAAAUAAACAAACAAGGGACUGAAACUGUCCCUAGGUGAUGGAUGAGUAAUAGAUCUAGACGUCUGAAGUCUAAAUUAGGGGAUAUGAGAGAACCACUUCUUGAGAACUAGACGUUUGAAGCAAGAAGCGUACAAACAAAAAUGGACUGACCACUGUAUACUUCAAGGCUACUAAUCUGGACUCAAAAUCCCCUCAUAUAUACGCACUACAUUACCACCCCCAGUUGAAUAAAAAAAGGACGAUUCUAUGCUUCAAAUCUACUAAUCUGGACUUGAUCCAAACAAACAAUGAGACCCCAAAAAUCCACUCGGAUCUACUUCAUCUCACCAACUAACAAACAAAAAAGAAAAAAGAAAAGAUGGGAAUGCAAAUACUCCAUAGCAGCGUCGCCCAUCCUCUCAUUGGCUGUGGAGGAGCACAGCGAUUUCUCUUCAAUCUGCUUCAGAGAUCUUUGGAUUUUCACAAAGAAGGGAUAGAGAGAGACAAAGGAUGAAAUAGACUAACGACUGCCAAUCCCCUCCUCUUAAUUACCUCGGGGUGCCUAUCCCUCUCCAGGUUACCGACUAGCUGCAGCACAUAUUCAUGGCUGCUUGGUCACCUAGGUCUUGGCGGGCAGCGGCAUGGCCGGGUCUUCACGACUAGGUGGAGUUGGCAGAUCUGCUUUCUCGCUUCUGAUUGCGUCACCGGGAAUUGGAUCCGGGGCAGCGGCGGUCUCGCUGUGGAUUGUGGUCACCAUCAAAAGAUUUUCUGAGAGUUCAUCUUUAAAAUCCCGUGGCUGACUUCGGCGGCGAGAUGAAAACUAUGGACGAAGUCUUGAUGCAGAGGGAUGGUUGUGUGGCAGCGGCGGUUACACCGCAUGUUGCUGCUAGGAUUGUGGAAAAGUGGUGGCGGCAACACAUGAAUGACUUCGAUGGUGAUGCUACUUGAGCACCCGGUCUUGAGCUUCGGGAUGAAAGCCUAGGUUUGGCCCGAGUUGGGUAUACCUGACAAUGACGAUGUUUUUACGUCGUUAUCUUGUUGAAGGCAUUGUUCGAAAUGCUCGGGCAGAUUCUUUAGGGUGAAAAGCGUAGAUUGUAGCCUUGGGUGGCUCGAUCUGGUGACGGUGACAUUUGAGUGUUGCUCUCUUCCUGAGGGCGUUGCUGUUGAAGAACCUCAUCGUUCGUGUGGUGUCAUGAGAUGGUCGGUGCAGAUAUGAUCAUUGUUAUAAUUGGUCGAUCCAGGAUCGGAUUGCUUUGGGCAUUUUUUUCUUUUUUCCUCGCCUAUACGCAUAGCUUUGGUCUUAUAUGACUUUGCUAUUUGCCGGCGUGUUUUUGUGUGCGUGCGUUGGUGUUGGUUGUGUGCACCUAGCUAUGCAGAGGCUGGGUGUAUACUCAUCGUGUUUGUAUCUUCUUGAUGCUCCAUUUUAAGUCAAUAAAAUCCACCCUUUAUCGAAAAAAAUCCCUCUCCACUCUUAAUUACCACGGGGCUACCACUCCCUCUUCACCUGCCCUAGCCCAGAAAAAGAAACGCGAGACGCUCACAUGAAUCAAGGCCGGCCCAAAUAAAAAAAAUGCUCCAAAAAAUAAAAACAAGCAAAACGGGCCGAUCCGUGACGUACACAGGCCGAAACAUAGAUAAAAAUGAGCCAGCGCGAAUCUACAAGCAACACGAGAUCGAACGGCUGCACAAUCGACCGAGACUUCACGAAUCUCAGUCCACUGAUUUUUAGCAGCUCCGUUAAACGAAUGAACCAAACUGGCAGGCAUCGGAAGGGAUUAGAAGGGAAGGGGAGUGGAUGGGCAUCUAGCCCAGUGACAAGACCGCGGCCUUUGGUAGAGCCAAGUUCGAAUAGUAUAGGUGGAAUUUAUUUUGCAGAUUUAAAACUUUAUGUCCCACAU